RNAcentral lists this long non-coding RNA (255 nucleotides) under Carica papaya (papaya). RNAcentral describes it as "long non-coding RNA (CPAP_LNC007159)". The record is from RNAcentral. Lineage: Eukaryota; Viridiplantae; Streptophyta; Magnoliopsida; Brassicales; Caricaceae.
GGGUCAAUCAUGGGAGGAACUAGGUCCCGUGAAAAGGGACUGGGGCCAGGCUGAUGGUAGACUAGGGGGCCUUGUGGUGGUACUUGUUGAUACGGCGGGGUCACCGGAUUAUACUAUGGCGGUGGUACCGGGUGCUACUGUGGAGGAGUAAGGUCGUACCGAGGUGGCUUAGGAUCCUCUCGCUACAGUUGUGGCUCAACCUGUUGCAGCGGGGGAGGGUCAGGUAGCUCCCUCCUCUCCUCUCGGCCCUGCUGG